Molecule: ribosomal RNA, 1324 nt
Filed under: metagenome
Description: bacterial LSU rRNA
Rfam family: Bacterial large subunit ribosomal RNA
Source: RNAcentral
AGUGGAUGGGGAGCAACCUAGUUGUGCGUGUGUAAAGGUAGUGCCAAGAAAAGCGGUGAUCAUGAUGAAAAUCAAUUCCCGGUACCCGAAACCGACACAGGUGGGCAAGUAGAGAAUACUAAGGGGCGCGAGGUAACUCUCUCCAAGGAACUCGGCAAAAUGACCCCGUAACUUAGGGAGAAGGGGUGCCACCGAGAGGUGGUCGCAGUGAAGAGGCCCAGGCGACUGUUUAGCAAAAACAUAGGUCUCUGCAAACUCGAAAGAGGAGGUAUAGGGGCUGACGCCUGCCCAGUGCCGGAAGGUUAAAGAAGUUGGUCAGUCUUAGGAUGAAGCUAGCGACUGAAGCCCCGGUGAACGGCGGCCGUAACUAUAACGGUCCUAAGGUAGCGAAAUUCCUUGUCGGGUAAGUUCCGACCCGCACGAAAGGCGUAACGAUCUGGGCGCUGUCUCGGAGAGAGGCUCGGCGAAAUAGGAUUGUCUGUGAAGAUACGGACUACCUGCAUUUGGACAGAAAGACCCUAUGAAGCUAUACUAUAGCUUGGAAUUGUGUUCGGGCUUCCUGUGCGCAGGAUAGGUGGGAGGCGUAGAAGGUAUUCUUGUGGGGAUACUGGAGCCAACGGUGAGAUACCACUCUCAGGAGGCUAGAAUUCUAACUUAAUUAAGGACAGUUUCAGGUGGGUAGUUUGACUGGGGCGGUCGCCUCCAAAAAGGUAACGGAGGCGUACAAAGGUUCCCUCAGACUGGUUGGAAAUCAGUCGAAGAGUGCAAAGGCAGAAGGGAGCUUGACUGCGAGAAGUACAGUUCGAGCAGGGUGGAAACACGGUCUUAGUGAUCCGACGGUGCUGUGUGGAAGGGCCGUCGCUCAACGGAUAAAAGUUACUCUAGGAUAACAGGCUGAUCUCCCCCAAGAGUUCACAUCGACGGGGAGGUUUGGCACCUCGAUGUCGGCUCAUCGCAACCUGGGGCGGAAGUACGUCCCAAGGGUUGGGCUGUUCGCCCAUUAAAGCGGUACGUGAGCUGGGUUCAGAACGUCGUGAGACAGUUCGGUCCAUAUCCGAUGUAGGCGUGAGAAUAUUGGGAGGAGCCUUCCUUAGUACGAGAGGACCGGGAAGGACGCACCGCUGGUGUACCUGUUAUGAUGCCAAUUGUAAACGCAGGGUAGCCAAGUGCGGAGAGGAUAACCGCUGAAAGCAUCUAAGUGGGAAGCCCACCUCAAGAUGAGUAUUCUGGUGUAAGGUCACGGGAAGACGACCCGUAAAUAGGCACGAGGUGGAAGUGCAGAGAUGUAUGAAGCCGAAGUGUACUAAUAGACCGUCGGCUUGAC